Molecule: non-coding RNA, 114 nt
Organism: Sarcophilus harrisii (Tasmanian devil)
Lineage: Eukaryota; Metazoa; Chordata; Mammalia; Dasyuromorphia; Dasyuridae
Source: Rfam
CUUAGGUAUGGUGAUAUGGUACCAAAGACCAUUGCUGGAAAGAUUUUUGGUUCCAUCUGCUCCUUGAGUGGUGUCUUAGUCAUUGCUCUGCCUGUUCCUGUGAUUGUCUCCAAC